CAAAAAAAAAAGAGAAGUGGUGUGACCAAAAGAUUCAGGAAAAUAUAUAAAUCGUUGGCGUUGAAAUAUUUUACUCUCAUCUAUAACUAUACUAAAACAGGAGGUUGGAGAUGUAUUUGGAGCCACCCGAGCCCUCUUGAGACUACAUUCCCGCCCUUCCCUCUGUUUUUUAUUUCCUCCGUUUCUAUUUACAACAAAAAUUAAAAAUAGAACUGCAUCCCCUUUGCAGCCCUUCUCUGACCUAAUAGAAAAAAAAAACGAAUUAGAAAAAAAAAUCCCUCAAUCUUUCUUCCUCGACCUCUUUUCACAAUUCAACCUAAUUGAAAUCCUCUUCGCAAUAUUCAGCCAUAUAUUAUUCUUUGUUCUCCAUCCAAUUUUGUUUAUGUUUGAUUAUAUGCAUACAAUAAAGUAUAAAGUAUAAACUAUUGUUGAUGGAGAUGAUGCCGCGAGAUGUUGUUGAAGGAAAUACUUAGGUGAACAAUAUUUGGUUGAAUUCACUUGCUAUAUGGAUGAAUUUUAUGCUAAAGGGUUGAAUGCCCACAAAGUGUUUGCUAUAAUGCCUGAACGAGUGUCGAUGAGUUCAUUGGCAGUAAGCUGCUAACGCCAUGAAGAGAGCUGGUGUUCUAAUCAACCAGAUGGAUGUUGCCAGAGUUGCUUCUUAUUUGAAAUUGCAUGACGCCUUGAAGAGAAUGGAAUCCGUUCAAAAAAUGGUCCCACUGAUGGCGCCAAUGUUUGAACCUACAUUGACUGGCUUAGUGAAGAUACGGAUUUGACUGCGACAACCAUCACAUCUCUUGAAUAUACAGUGCAAACCUAACAAGUUCUUAGCGAACCUAAGGUGGCGAUGGUUAUCGUAAGAUAGGAAAAUAGCGUUUCCCGGUAUCUUUGAAGGAUAUAACGAUUAUGAUUCGAUUUAUCAAAUCGAACAUAUUAUAUGAGAGUGAAUACAAAUCACUCAUGUUGUUUGUUAUGAGAAGUGAAAGAUAAUUCACUUUGUUGUUCUAUAUAUGUAUGAUAUAGAAACAGAUUCAUUUUUAGUGAUUCACUUAUUAUACUCAUAAUAUGUAUCAAAGAAAACAAAUGUAUAUUAUUAUGUAUCAUC
This is a long non-coding RNA of Erigeron canadensis, 1102 nucleotides long. RefSeq lists it as uncharacterized. The record is from RefSeq and is a predicted model, not a curated record. NCBI's taxonomy places the organism in Eukaryota, Viridiplantae, Streptophyta, Magnoliopsida, Asterales, Asteraceae. The transcript is spliced from 3 exons.